This 750-nucleotide ribosomal RNA is filed under the name bacterium. Its description in RNAcentral is "bacterial SSU rRNA". It matches the Rfam family "Bacterial small subunit ribosomal RNA", at positions 41 to 786 of the family's 1533-position model. The record is from RNAcentral.
GGCAUGGCGCAGCUACACAUGCAGUCGAGCGGAUGACAGGAGCUUGCUCCUGGAUUCAGCGGCGGACGGGUGAGUAAUGCCUAGGAAUCUGCCUGGUAGUGGGGGACAACGUUUCGAAAGGAACGCUAAUACCGCAUACGUCCUACGGGAGAAAGCAGGGGACCUUCGGGCCUUGCGCUAUCAGAUGAGCCUAGGUCGGAUUAGCUAGUUGGUGAGGUAAUGGCUCACCAAGGCGACGAUCCGUAACUGGUCUGAGAGGAUGAUCAGUCACACUGGAACUGAGACACGGUCCAGACUCCUACGGGAGGCAGCAGUGGGGAAUAUUGGACAAUGGGCGAAAGCCUGAUCCAGCCAUGCCGCGUGUGUGAAGAAGGUCUUCGGAUUGUAAAGCACUUUAAGUUGGGAGGAAGGGCAGUAAAUUAAUACUUUGCUGUUUUGACGUUACCGACAGAAUAAGCACCGGCUAACUCUGUGCCAGCAGCCGCGGUAAUACAGAGGGUGCAAGCGUUAAUCGGAAUUACUGGGCGUAAAGCGCGCGUAGGUGGUUUGUUAAGUUGGAUGUGAAAGCCCCGGGCUCAACCUGGGAACUGCAUUCAAAACUGACAAGCUAGAGUAUGGUAGAGGGUGGUGGAAUUUCCUGUGUAGCGGUGAAAUGCGUAGAUAUAGGAAGGAACACCAGUGGCGAAGGCGACCACCUGGACUGAUACUGACACUGAGGUGCGAAAGCGUGGGGAGCAAACAGGAUAAACC